This 372-nucleotide ribosomal RNA is filed under the name uncultured organism. Its description in RNAcentral is "bacterial SSU rRNA". It matches the Rfam family "Bacterial small subunit ribosomal RNA", at positions 526 to 896 of the family's 1533-position model. The record is from RNAcentral.
CGUAGGGUGCGAGCGUUAAUCGGAAUUACUGGGCGUAAAGCGUGCGCAGGCGGUUUUGUAAGACAGGCGUGAAAUCCCCGGGCUCAACCUGGGAACUGCGCUUGUGACUGCAAGGCUAGAGUACGGCAGAGGGGGGUGGAAUUCCACGUGUAGCAGUGAAAUGCGUAGAGAUGUGGAGGAACACCAAUGGCGAAGGCAGCCCCCUGGGUCGAUACUGACGCUCAUGCACGAAAGCGUGGGUAGCAAACAGGGUUAGAUACCCUGGUAGUCCACGCCCUAAACGAUGUCAACUAGGUGUUGGGUGGGUAAAACCAUUUAGUACCGGAGCUAACGCGUGAAGUUGACCGCCUGGGGAGUACGGCCGCAAGGUUA